RNAcentral lists this ribosomal RNA (802 nucleotides) under uncultured bacterium. RNAcentral describes it as "bacterial SSU rRNA". It matches the Rfam family "Bacterial small subunit ribosomal RNA", at positions 8 to 796 of the family's 1533-position model. The record is from RNAcentral.
AGAGUUUGAUCAUGGCUCAGGACGAACGCUGGCGGCGUGCUUAACACAUGCAAGUGGAGCGACGAACCGGGCUUCGGCCCGGGGCAAAGCCGCGAACGGGUGAGUAUCACGUGGGUAACCUGCCCCGAUGACCGGGACAACCCGAGGAAACUCGGGCUAAUACCGGAUGUGCUCUCCAUCCACCAGGGUGGAGAACAAAGGAAGCUUCGGCCUCCGCAUUGGGAUGGGCCCGCGGCCCAUUAGCUUGUUGGUGAGGUAAAGGCUCACCAAGGCGACGAUGGGUAGCUGGUCUGAGAGGACGAUCAGCCACACUGGGACUGAGACACGGCCCAGACUCCUACGGGAGGCAGCAGUGGGGAAUCUUGCGCAAUGCGCGAAAGCGUGACGCAGCAACGCCGCGUGAGGGAAGAAGGCCUUCGGGUUGUAAACCUCUUUCAGGAGGGACGAAGGUUCAGGCGCGAAUAGCGUCCUGGACUGACGGUACCUCCAGAAGAAGCCCCGGCUAACUACGUGCCAGCAGCCGCGGUAAUACGUAGGGGGCUAGCGUUGUCCGGAAUCAUUGGGCGUAAAGAGCGUGUAGGCGACCCGGUAAGUCCGCUGUAAAAGUCAAAGGCUCAACCUUUGAAUGUCAGUGGAUACUGCCAGGCUAGAGUCCGGAAGAGGCGAGUGGAACUCCUGGUGUAGCGGUGGAAUGCGCAGAUAUCAGGAAGAACACCAACGGCGAAGGCAGCUCGCUGGGACGGUACUGACGCUGAGACGCGAAAGCGUGGGGAGCAAACAGGAUUAGAUACCCUAGUAGUCC